This 63-nucleotide non-coding RNA is filed under the name unclassified sequences. Its description in RNAcentral is "terC RNA". It matches the Rfam family "terC RNA". The record is from RNAcentral.
CUAGCGGACCGGGCCCCUCUGACGAUCUUUCUUCGGGAAAGGUUGUGAUGUCGGACCGCGUCG